UGGAAAUUUGCAAUGCGCAAACGACCGCGUACGAAUGAGUCGCGCCUCGACAUCGAUCCAGAUUCUUCCACUGUCGCGCCUUCAUCAUCAUCACGUUCGUUUCACCUUCGUCACCUUCGUUCAUCCAUGAAGAAGCGAUCGAAUUCUUCAAACACCAUAAAGCGUUCUCUUGCAUCGGAAUUCAGGGAUUCGACAUCAAUGCGUUUCAUCACACUUCUACUCGCGCUUGGAUUAUAUCGAGGAUUCAUCAUGAUUCUCAUUUUAGGAUUCAUCCCUCAUGUUAGCGUUUCAAUCAUCAUCGUGUUCGCUUCAAAACGCUCAAGCUCGCGCAUGCAAAAUCGAGGAGCAACACGGAUUUAUCCCAUAAAUUAACGUUAAGUAAAGAAGUAAGAAGCCGCAGAAAACUCACCGGAUCGAAAUCGGAGCCGGCGCGGUGACCUUCCUACGAACAACCGGUAUGCUUCGACCUGCUUACUUCUCCUUCUUCUUCUCAGCUCUGUGAUGAUGUUCCUAUAAUCCUCUUCUUCUCAGUUAUGUGUCGUGAUUUGUUACGAAGCUGUGAUACGUAGUUGUGAGAUUGUGUGUAUGCUGAAUCGAGAAUGCGAUUAAAAUGCUGCAGGGCGAGUAGAAAUGCAGAACUCAGGUUGGAGAUUGAAACCUCAGGUUGCAGAAAAUGGAGGCUCAGGUUGCAGAAGGUGAAAACUCAAGUUGCAGAUUGAAGAGUCCUAUUUAUAAGUUCUCUCUUUCUCAAUUCUGUUGGAAAUGCAGGAAAUGCAGGUACUCGUAUGAAAGAAUAGAUUUCUUGACUUCGAAGAAAGAAAAUGCCAUGAGGCAAGGAAGGCAUGAUCAUGAAGCUGUAAAUGAAUUAGCAUGUUAAGACUUGCUUGAAUUAGGUUCCCAUGGUUGGGCUUUUGUGACUCUUGAGAUGAGUUUGUAUUGGUUUGAAUGUAUGGAUUUGUUCAGAGGGUCUAUAAUAUUGUAAUGGAAAAUAGAAUGGAAUUCGAUUUUGAAUAUUUAUGGAAAUACAUUAUAAUUAAACGUUGAAUGGAAGGUGGAUUAAUGAGAAGUUAUGGAA
Lathyrus oleraceus (garden pea) is the source of this 1075-nucleotide long non-coding RNA. RefSeq lists it as uncharacterized. The record is from RefSeq and is a predicted model, not a curated record. NCBI's taxonomy places the organism in Eukaryota, Viridiplantae, Streptophyta, Magnoliopsida, Fabales, Fabaceae. The transcript is spliced from 2 exons.